Molecule: ribosomal RNA, 1374 nt
Filed under: uncultured bacterium
Lineage: Bacteria
Description: bacterial SSU rRNA
Rfam family: Bacterial small subunit ribosomal RNA
Source: RNAcentral
GAUGAACGCUGGCGGCGUGCCUAAUACAUGCAAGUCGAGCGAACGGACGAGAAGCUUGCUUCUCUGAUGUUAGCGGCGGACGGGUGAGUAACACGUGGAUAACCUACCUAUAAGACUGGGAUAACUUCGGGAAACCGGAGCUAAUACCGGAUAAUAUUUUGAACCGCAUGGUUCAAAAGUGAAAGACGGUCUUGCUGUCACUUAUAGAUGGAUCCGCGCUGCAUUAGCUAGUUGGUAAGGUAACGGCUUACCAAGGCAACGAUGCAUAGCCGACCUGAGAGGGUGAUCGGCCACACUGGAACUGAGACACGGUCCAGACUCCUACGGGAGGCAGCAGUAGGGAAUCUUCCGCAAUGGGCGAAAGCCUGACGGAGCAACGCCGCGUGAGUGAUGAAGGUCUUCGGAUCGUAAAACUCUGUUAUUAGGGAAGAACAUAUGUGUAAGUAACUGUGCACAUCUUGACGGUACCUAAUCAGAAAGCCACGGCUAACUACGUGCCAGCAGCCGCGGUAAUACGUAGGUGGCAAGCGUUAUCCGGAAUUAUUGGGCGUAAAGCGCGCGUANGCGGUUUUUUAAGUCUGAUGUGAAAGCCCACGGGCUCAACCGUGGAGGGUCAUUGGAAACUGGAAAACUUGAGUGCAGAAGAGGAAAGGUGGAAUUCCAUGUGUAGCGGUGAAAUGCGCAGAGAUAUGGAGGAACACCAGUGCCGAAGGCGACUUUCUGGUCUGUAACUGACGCUGAUGUGCGAAAGCGUGGGGAUCAACCAGGAUUAGAUACCCUGGUAGUCCACGCCGUAAACGAUGAGUGCUAAGUGUUAGGGGGUUUCCGCCCCUUAGUGCUGCAGCUAACGCAUUAAGCACUCCGCCUGGGGAGUACGACCGCAAGGUUGAAACUCAAAGGAAUUGACGGGGACCCGCACAAGCGGUGGAGCAUGUGGUUUAAUUCGAAGCAACGCGAAGAACCUUACCAAAUCUUGACAUCCUUUGACAACUCUAGAGAUAGAGCCUUCCCCUUCGGGGGACAAAGUGACAGGUGGUGCAUGGUUGUCGUCAGCUCGUGUCGUGAGAUGUUGGGUUAAGUCCCGCAACGAGCGCAACCCUUAAGCUUAGUUGCCAUCAUUAAGUUGGGCACUCUAAGUUGACUGCCGGUGACAAACCGGAGGAAGGUGGGGAUGACGUCAAGUCAUCAUGCCCCUUAUGAUUUGGGCUACACACGUGCUACAAUGGACAAUACAAAGGGCAGCGAAACCGCGAGGUCAAGCAAAUCCCAUAAAGUUGUUCUCAGUUCGGAUUGUAGUCUGCAACUCGACUACAUGAAGCUGGAAUCGCUAGUAAUCGUAGAUCAGCAUGCUACGGUGAAUACGUUCCCGGGUCU